UUUUUACGUGAGCCAUAGCUUCAUUCAUACAAUACUCAACGCCAAUAACUUUUGAACACUUAAUCAGGGGAGAGCGCGAACGCAGUCCCCCACUACCAGAAAUUAUGCAGUCGAGAUUCCCACAUUUGGGGAAUUCGCAGAGGUCAGACAGCCUCAGUGCAAUGGCUGAGCCUCGCCCUGGGUGAACCACCUACAUGAUCAUGGUAUCUCCCCUGCCAGGUAAGUAGGAGUUGCUGAACCCGCGCUCGGGAGCCCCUUUCACACGUGAUCCCUGAUGACUGACGGUGCUGAAAAUCAUUAAACUCACAAAGUACAACGUCUCAGAAGGACGUGAAAGCACAGAAAUCCACCCCAAAGGUAAUGCGUUAUACAUAAGGACACAGACGUUAUUUAUAUUUUUUACGAUAGAAUACCACAUCUCCCAUCGUGCUUUGUAGCAGUUCCCGGAAGUACGACACCCAGAAGAACAGCUUUAUUGAGUUCUACUGGGCUCCACUGUUUACUUUAGGGACUGUUUUAACCGUUUAUACGGUAGUUAAAUGUCUACAGUGAUAAAGAACGGUUCGUCCAAAAUUUACCGGUGACCAUAUACUUGUAAAAAACCAAUCGCGUGGCAGAACUGAACCGCAGACAACCAAUCGAGUCGCAGCUGAAAUCACACAAACAGCGCCUGCGUGGGUAAAAAGCGACUCCACAUUUCUUUUAACACAGACUGUUACAUAUAGUUUAGAUCAGCCGAAGUCUGUUUCUGCACAUUACUUAAAUUGCAAAGCUGCCUGAGGACCUGUUUUGCGGUCACUGUCCCUUAUUCCUGUUGCUCCAGGUAUCAGACCAACUUCUGUUGCCUGCUGUUCGCUGUAUACGAUAGCUUCUACACGUGGUCUUCGACAUUGACGACAGCACUGCAGAAGUUCCGAGAUCUUACUUUCUUCACAGCGCAGCUUUACUGGUGGUCUGAAGCCUUUCUUUAUUGUGGAGGUCACCUCAAACCUGCCGUAAGAGCUCGGCAAAGACACAAUACAAUAAAUGAAACACGACAAUCAUUAAGCUAGCUUAGCAGACACGAAAUCGUUUAAACUUAUAAUUCAAAUAAUAAACUUUACCUCGUUGCCA
This 1113-nucleotide long non-coding RNA is filed under the name Betta splendens (Siamese fighting fish). Its description in RNAcentral is "lncRNA (ENSBSLG00000001132.1)". Lineage: Eukaryota; Metazoa; Chordata; Actinopteri; Anabantiformes; Osphronemidae. The record is from RNAcentral.